This 326-nucleotide ribosomal RNA is filed under the name uncultured eukaryote. RNAcentral's name for it is "partial 18S ribosomal RNA". It matches the Rfam family "Eukaryotic small subunit ribosomal RNA", at positions 1470 to 1796 of the family's 1831-position model. The record is from RNAcentral.
CCCUUAGAUGUUCUGGGCCGCACGCGCGCUACACUGAUGCAUUCAGCAAGCCUAGCCUUGACCGAGAGGUCCGGGUAAUCUUUGAAACUGCAUCGUGAUGGGGCUAGAUUAUUGCAAUUAUUAAUCUUCAACGAGGAAUGCCUAGUAAGCGUGAUUCAUCAAAUCGCGUUGAUUACGUCCCUGCCCUUUGUACACACCGCCCGUCGCUCCUACCGAUUGAAUGUGUUGGUGAGGAGCUCGGAUUGGCAGCAGUUGGUGGUUCGCCACCGGCUAUUGCUGAGAAGUCCUCCAAACCGCCCCAUUUAGAGGAAGGAGAAGUCGUAACA